RNAcentral lists this ribosomal RNA (1594 nucleotides) under Hyla chinensis (Chinese tree toad). Its description in RNAcentral is "16S ribosomal RNA". It matches the Rfam family "Bacterial large subunit ribosomal RNA". Lineage: Eukaryota; Metazoa; Chordata; Amphibia; Anura; Hylidae. The record is from RNAcentral.
GCUAAUAUUCUACGCCCCUCUUAAUCUAAUGAACCUUAAAAAUUAAGCAUAAAAAUCAAAACAUUUUCACAUCUUAGUAAAGGCGAUCGAAAAAUUUUUAGGAGCCAUAUUAAUAGUACCGCAAGGGAAAGAUGAAAUAAAAAUGAAAUAAAUAUUAAGCAGAAAAAAGUAGAGAUUUAACCUCGUACCUUUUGCAUCAUGGUUUAACUAGUCAAAUUAAGCAAAACGACUUACAGUUUAACCCCCCGAAACUAAGCGAGCUACCCCAGGGCAGCUUAUUGAGCAAACCCGUCUCUGUCGCAAAAGAGUGGGAAGACCUUUGGGUAGAGGUGACAGACCUAACGAGCUUAGUGAUAGCUGGUUACUCAAGAAAAGGAUUUUAGUCCAACCUAAAGUCUUAUCAUUAACUAUAAAUAAUAAAAAUACUUUAGAGCAAUUCAAAUAAGGUACAGCCUAUUUGAAACAGGAUACAACCUUUAACGUCGGGUAAUAAUUUGUUAUAAUAAUAAAGUAGGCUUAAAAGCAGCCACCUUUCAAAUAGCGUCAAAGCUUCAUUAUACUUUUAAUUAAUUCCCCUAAUAAUCUAGAACCCUCCACCACUACUGAGUACUUCUAUAUUUCUAUAGAAUAUUUUAUGUUAAAACUAGUAACAAGAAGUAAAACUUCACUUAAAUGCAAGUGUAAAUCAGGAAGGAUACACCACUGACUAUUAACACCCGUGCAAACAAAUUAAUAACCCCACAAGAAAAACUUAAUUUACCCUGUGUUAACCUAACACAAGAGCAUUUCAAGUAAGAUUAAAAGAAAAGGAAGGAACUCGGCAAAUAUUAACCUCGCCUGUUUACCAAAAACAUCGCCUCUUGAUUUAAUAUAAGAGGUCCAGCCUGCCCAGUGACUCUGUUCAACGGCCGCGGUAUCCUAACCGUGCGAAGGUAGCGUAAUCACUUGUUCUUUAAAUGAGGACUAGUAUGAAUGGCACCACGAAGGUUACACUGUCUCCCUUUUCUAAUCAGUGAAACUAAUCUCCCCGUGAAGAAGCGGGGAUAAACAUAUAAGACGAGAAGACCCUAUGGAGCUUUAAACUUAAUAACAUUUCCUUAAAACACUCACUCUUCAGAGUACUCACAUUUACUUCGGCUUUCUGAUUAUUAGUUUUAGGUUGGGGUGACCGCGGAGCAAAAAAUAACCUCCACAUUGAAUGGGGAACUCCCCUGAGACACGAGCUACAACUCUACACACCAAUAAAUUGACAUCAAUUGACCCAAUAUAUUGAUCAACGAACCAAGUUACCCUAGGGAUAACAGCGCAAUCCGCUUCAAGAGCUCCUAUCGACAGGCGGGUUUACGACCUCGAUGUUGGAUCAGGGUAUCCCAGUGGUGCAGCCGCUACUAAAGGUUCGUUUGUUCAACGAUUAAAACCCUACGUGAUCUGAGUUCAGACCGGAGUAAUCCAGGUCAGUUUCUAUCUAUAAGGGGCUUUUUCUAGUACGAAAGGACCGAAAAAACAUGGCCCAUGCAUAAUACAAGCCAUACUAAAUAAUUUAUGAUUAAAACUCAAUAAAUACUUAACCCACCCCCUAACUCUAAACAAGAGU